AUGUAUAUGAGGCAAGCACUCUUGCCACUAGGCCAUAUUCCCAGCCCCAAUGCAGUCUUUUUAAACUGCUAAAAUGGCCAGAUUUCAGGAGUAAAGUAUGCCCUGCUUGGAAGAAUAUACCAUAUUUUAUAAGAUUCUCAAGGAAAAGAUGAGAUACUCCCCUUUACUUUAUCUUCUUAGCACUUCCUGAGAACUUCUGUAGCAAACAUGUUUUCGGUGGAAAAGGUUUACAUUUGCUUGUUUGUUCGUGUGUGUGUGUGUGUGUGUGUGUGUGUGUGUGUGUGUGUGCGUUUCUUGUUUUCUGCCGAGUAAGUGUAUCUUUUCAUUUUACCCCAACCUCACCCUGGUUAAGAUCCAUGUAUUUGGGAAUGAGGUGUAUAUAUAGUGUAUUCCACAGAAAUUAACUUGGUAUGCAUUUGUGUAUUUUCUUUUUAGUCUAGAGUCUUCAGCAGGCUCUAAGUAAGAAUUUUGUAGUAUACACUGUGACCUAUGUUUAAGUUGGGAAAGUUUUCACUGUAUGGAACAGUGGGACUGAAUAUGCUCUCUGGUGUUUAGUUGGUUUGGUUUAUUUUUGUGUUUUUGAGAGAACAGUCUUAGGGCCUGAACUCAGGAUCUAGGUGCUGUCCCUGAGUUUUUGUACUCAGGCUACUUUCUGCUCUACCUUUUGAAUCACAACUCCA
Long non-coding RNA from Perognathus longimembris pacificus (Pacific pocket mouse), 680 nucleotides. RefSeq lists it as uncharacterized. The record is from RefSeq and is a predicted model, not a curated record. Lineage: Eukaryota; Metazoa; Chordata; Mammalia; Rodentia; Heteromyidae. The transcript is spliced from 3 exons.